CACCUAUGUAUUGUCCAAAGUUGGAAAUUGCAAUUACUAAUACGGUUAUUCUUACAUCAUCAUUCAAGGAGUUUAAUCGCAAUGUCAAACUCGUAUUUGAUCAACAUGAUUGCAUCAUAAGAAAGAUGGGGGAAAAUUGAUGGAGAAGAGGAGGAAAAAAAGACAUGCAAAUAUUGAAGUCUUUUAAAACAUGAAACACACAACAUCUCUCCACCACUUUGUACACAUCAUUGUUUGCUCCCUCCUUUAUAAACAGUAAGAUGCAGCAAAUUCACAGUAUCAUAUAUGUUUGCCUCUUACAUAUCAGCUGCUAUCAUAUGUUUAAUAGAAAGGAUUAUGUCACUUUUUACGAGACACAGCUGCUGCAAUCCCACCUGCAAUCAGUCCAACAGCAGUUGCAGCAAUGCCCAAGCCAAUGACACCAUCUACAAUGGAGGAAUAGAAAUAAUGUCAGUGUUAUUUAGAGCACAAAUCAAGCCCCUUCCCAUUGGUCUCAACAUGAUAAGGGGAAGAAAAUGCAUGGGGAAAGAUCAAUAAUUGAUGAGAACCUUUUGUUAUCCGACUCUCAAUCGCCUCCUUAAGUGACAAUGCCUGCCUCCAGUCGGAUGCAAUCUGCAGAAGAAAAAAUUGUAAUCAUUUUCACAUGGGAUGCUGUGUUGUGUUGGUGUUAAUGGAUAGAUUGGAAUUGGAAUGAAAAAUUUGAUGGUGUACUUCAUCUUCACUUAGAAUUAAUGGUUAGAUUUGGAGGGUAAAGAAAAAAAGCCAAGAUAUAUAGAUAGCGAGUCUGACAUUUUUUUUCCUCUAUAAAUUUCAAUUAAACAGUGGAAUCAAAGGCUCAAGUAUAUGGAAAAACAAAAGAGGGAAAAAAAUGAUAAACAUGAUUCUUGUCGUAAGCUACGUAAUUUCAGAGAGUUUGAACCAGUUUCAACCACUAAUGGACAUGUUCAAGGUUAUUCACUAAAUUUCAAAUUAGUAGAGAUACCGAGUGAGAAAAGUCCUAACAGACAACAAAAUUUACAAAAUCAUAUCUUAUUUCUACAAGCUGUUACAGUGAAAUGUACAGAAAAUGCAUUUAUAGAAGUCAGAUUCUUUUUAAAAAUCUGAUGUGUUUUGAAGAUACAAUGCAGGAUAGAAACGUCAACUAGUUAUAAAAUAAAGGGUUAAUAGGUCUUUACCCCCCUGUAAUAUAGGUCAUUUCCGGUUUUCCCCAUGUAAAAUAUUUUUGUUUUGAUUUAUCCCCCUAAUAGGCCAAACAAAAACGAACAUGUUUUGAAAAAAAAUAAAUAAAAUUGGUUUUUGUUUGGCCUAUUAGGGGAGUAAAUCAAAACAAAAAUAUUUUACAGGGGGUAAAUCAAAAUAAAAUAAAAUUUUUACAGGGGGGAAACCAAAAAUGACCUAUUCACCCUAAAAUAAAAUUUAAGAUUUACAGAUAUAUCAAGUGCGGUGCUAGGGGCACAUACACCUUAUACAACUUGGGGCUGUUUAUUUCGGGUGUUUCCUGUUUCCAUUUCCUCUAAUAAAAUGAAUAUUAGAGAAGACAUUAUGAAAGUUUUUAAAAUUCAGAAGAAAAAAAAAAAAUCAAAACAUUAUUUUCGGUGUUUACGGAAACACAUACUUUCUAGUUAGCUUUCAUCUUUAAACUAUCACAAUUAAAAAGUAAGAUCCAUAAGCAAAUGUCAUCCACCCACAUAUAAAGUAAAAAUUGAAAAUAUUGUUAGAAAGUAGCCAGAUUACCAGACCCAGUUUCUCUGUCAUAAAUCAGGGGAACAUAAUUUAAAACAAUGGAAGAAUACACCCGGAUAUGAUUUUUUUUAUAAACAAAAGGAACUGAUGAAAGCAUUAAGGCUCAGUUCUGAUGUUUCUCUAGAUACCAAGUAACAUUAAAGCCAAAGCGAGAAAAACAUACCUCUAGGCAUUUCUCAACAAGUUCCCUGCUCCUUGAAUAGUCACCACUUUUGUAAUAUCCAACAGCCAGAAGAUAAAGCUUCUCCCUUUGUUUCAGCGGGUCAACAGUACUCGGUAAUGAUGCUGCCACACACAUGUAAUUUUAUUAUCAACGUCAUUGUUAUAAACACAAUUUUGCUUAUCAAUUUACACUUGCAAGUUAAGUAAAAGAGAGAUAGAUUGGUUUACAUUGAAGCAUUGCUAUCCCACGCUGCACAUCUUCUGGACGUUUUGAGUGGACAAGAGCCCAUGAUAAACGCAAGAGAGAUUCUUGCAUAGCCUCAUCAGAGGCAGGUUGUUUCUCGGCCUCAGCAACCUCUCUUUCACAUCCCUACAGAUAUACAUGCAUCAAAUUUAAAAGCGGCAAAGCAAAAGGAAAUGGAUAGGAUCAAGGCCCAUGUUUGAAUAAGCAGAUUUAUUAAGUGUUUGUGCUUGUCAUGUAAGUGCUUAUGUAUAAACUAUGACCCCGUUUGGAUUGGCUUAUUAUUGAACUUCUGAAAAAUAGCUUAUGCAAAUAAAUAAGCUUUUGUGUUAAUUCAUAAGUUCUCAAUAAUAAAAAUUGCAUCUUCAUAAUCAGUUUUUUCAUAAACUACCUUGACAAGCUUAUUUAUUUUCAUAGGUUGUUUUGCAUAAGCUAAAAAAUAAGCCACAAUCCAAACGGGCUUUGUAUAACAAAAUGUAAAAUCAAAUCAAAUUUUGUUCAUAAAAUAGCCUAGAGAGCUUUCCUUAUAAGCAAUCCCAAAGAGUCAGUGCUCACAAGUUUUGUGAGACAGUUUGGGAGAAGUUAUGAAAACAGCUUAUGAGAAGCUUUUUUUUUCAGCUUAAUUGAAUUAAGAAGUUAGAAAGUAAUUAAAAUUGAAGCUAAAUUCUGAGUCUAAUGCAAGAAAAAAGAAAGUCUAUAAUAAGAAAAGGGGAAACGGUGCGUUUAAUAAAUGAUAGAGAAGGAAGAGAGUACAGCGAUGAUAUCGGGAUCGCAGGAGGGAAGAAGGUCACUGCCGGAGAAGAAUUGUCCAACCUUGUCAAC
This 2968-nucleotide long non-coding RNA is filed under the name Medicago truncatula (barrel medic). RNAcentral describes it as "lncRNA gene33160". Lineage: Eukaryota; Viridiplantae; Streptophyta; Magnoliopsida; Fabales; Fabaceae. The record is from RNAcentral.